This 469-nucleotide ribosomal RNA is filed under the name uncultured Bacteroidota bacterium. RNAcentral's name for it is "bacterial SSU rRNA". It matches the Rfam family "Bacterial small subunit ribosomal RNA", at positions 1014 to 1491 of the family's 1533-position model. The record is from RNAcentral. Lineage: Bacteria; Pseudomonadati; Bacteroidota.
UAUAGCAAUAUACGCGUGAUAAGGUGCUGCAUGGCUGUCGUCAGCUCGUGCCGUGAGGUGUUGGGUUAAGUCCCGCAACGAGCGCAACCCCCAUCACUAGUUGCCAUCAGGUAACGCUGGGAACUCUAGUGAAACUGCCGUCGUAAGACGUGAGGAAGGAGGGGAUGAUGUCAAGUCAUCAUGGCCUUUAUGCCCAGGGCUACACACGUGCUACAAUGGGGCGUACAAAGAGCAGCAACACAGUGAUGUGAAGCCAAUCUCAAGAAACGUCUCUCAGUUCAGAUUGAAGUCUGCAACUCGACUUCAUGAAGCUGGAAUCGCUAGUAAUCGUAUAUCAGCAAUGAUACGGUGAAUACGUUCCCGGACCUUGCACACACCGCCCGUCAAGCCAUGGAAGCCGGGUGUACCUAAAGUCGGUAACGGUAAGGAGCCGCCUAGGGUAAAACUGGUGACUGGGGCUAAGUCGUAA